GGGCCUGUAGCUCAAUGGCUAGAGCCGGCGGCUCAUAACCGCUUGGUUGGGGGUUCGAGUCCCUCCGGGCCCACCA
RNAcentral lists this transfer RNA (76 nucleotides) under Phyllobacteriaceae bacterium. RNAcentral describes it as "tRNA-Ile". It matches the Rfam family "tRNA". From Rfam's summary of the family: Transfer RNA (tRNA) molecules are approximately 80 nucleotides in length. Their secondary structure includes four short double-helical elements and three loops (D, anti-codon, and T loops). Further hydrogen bonds mediate the characteristic L-shaped molecular structure. tRNAs have two regions of fundamental functional importance: the anti-codon, which is responsible for specific mRNA codon recognition, and the 3' end, to which the tRNAs corresponding amino acid is attached (by aminoacyl-tRNA synthetases). tRNAs cope with the degeneracy of the genetic code in two manners: having more than one tRNA (with a specific anti-codon) for a particular amino acid; and 'wobble' base-pairing, i.e. permitting non-standard base-pairing at the 3rd anti-codon position. The record is from RNAcentral. Lineage: Bacteria; Pseudomonadati; Pseudomonadota; Alphaproteobacteria; Hyphomicrobiales; Phyllobacteriaceae.